Molecule: ribosomal RNA, 200 nt
Filed under: uncultured Glomus
Lineage: Eukaryota; Fungi; Glomeromycota; Glomeromycetes; Glomerales; Glomeraceae
Description: partial small subunit ribosomal RNA
Rfam family: Eukaryotic small subunit ribosomal RNA
Source: RNAcentral
CCAAUAGCGUAUAUUAAAGUUGUUGCAGUUAAAAAGCUCGUAGUUGAAUUUCGGGACUAAUAUGUCGGUCGUACUUUGUACGUACUAGCAUUAUUGGUUUCUCCCUUCUGACGAACCACGAUGUCAUUAAUUUGGUGUCGUGGGAAAUCAGGACUGUUACUUUGAAAAAAUUAGAGUGUUUAAAGCAAGCUCGCGCUUGA